UUCUGGCUCAGGAUGAACGCUGGCGGCGUGCCUAACACAUGCAAGUCGAGCGAUUUACUUCGGUAAAGAGCGGCGGACGGGUGAGUAACGCGUGGGUAACCUGCCUCAUACACAUGGAUAACAUACCGAAAGGUAUGCUAAUACAGGAUAAUAUAAGAGAUUCACAUGAAUUUCUUAUCAAAGCUCCGGCGGUAUGAGAUGGACCCGCGUCUGAUUAGCUAGUUGGUAAGGUAAUGGCUUACCAAGGCGACGAUCAGUAGCCGACCUGAGAGGGUGAUCGGCCACAUUGGAACUGAGACACGGUCCAAACUCCUACGGGAGGCAGCAGUGGGGAAUAUUGCACAAUGGGCGAAAGCCUGAUGCAGCAACGCCGCGUGAGUGAUGAAGGCCUUCGGGUCGUAAAACUCUGUCCUCAAGGAAGAUAAUGACGGUACUUGAGGAGGAAGCCCCGGCUAACUACGUGCCAGCCGCCGC
RNAcentral lists this ribosomal RNA (474 nucleotides) under uncultured bacterium. RNAcentral describes it as "bacterial SSU rRNA". It matches the Rfam family "Bacterial small subunit ribosomal RNA", at positions 17 to 518 of the family's 1533-position model. The record is from RNAcentral.